This is a long non-coding RNA of Hibiscus syriacus, 189 nucleotides long. RefSeq lists it as uncharacterized. The transcript has 3 exons. Lineage: Eukaryota; Viridiplantae; Streptophyta; Magnoliopsida; Malvales; Malvaceae. The record is from RefSeq and is a predicted model, not a curated record.
UAUUGAGUAUGUGAGACCUCCAGUUUCUUCCCUUGGACUGGAUGAAGCUUUAUAUCUUCAUGUGAACCUGCUGAGGUUGGUCCAAAGUUGGCAGCAGCAGAGGAAGCUUUUGAAUUUUCUUUACGGACGACAGCAACAAUUUGUCGAGUUCUCUCUCUUGAUAGUAUUUUGGCAAUGAUAAAUGGAGUG